AUCAGACAGGGUCAACAUAUGGUCGAAAGAUGAUGACCAGGUAUCUGUCUGCGAUGGGAGUGGUUGCUGGUGAACGCCGGAUAGGGAGGAUUUUGAGAACAACGCAUUGUCCUUAUCACGAAAUGCGCAAACAUAUAAGUAUCUUUUGCAAGCCUUUAAUGUUGUGAUAUAUGGUAUCAUGUAUUUUACUAGCUAACUUUUACUUAGUUUUCCCCAAAAGGGUGCACGUAACCUUAACCCCGUCCCCUACAGUGCUGCAUACAUGGGACACAAAAUCCACAUCGACCAGAAUGAAAAAUUGGUCAUGUUCGGAGUGACGCACGUUUUCGCAGUAGAUGGGUACAGCAGUAAGGUCGUUGCCCAUGCAACCAUGCCUGUCAAGAAUAACCUCACGAUAUAUGAGGAAGUUUACAGAUCAGCAGUUCUUGAAAAUGGGAUGUGGGACCAGGUCAGGGUGGACCAUGGCCAUGAGUUUUACUUGUCCCUCUACAUGCAGGAGAUGCUGUCUAACCACAGACACAACUUGCAAAGGCAACCAUAUCGCCAAACUCAGUCAACAAAGGCAAAGGAACACCCAAUUGUUUAGCAGCAGGAGUAUGUCCAAAGAAACUGGGAGAGGAGUUGUUGCCUCAUGCCUCCCAAGCACCAGACAUGUACCAGCAGGAUGUUGGCUCUUCACUCCUGGCUGACGUCUGACGUUAUGGUCCCUCUCUAUCUCCCUACACAUCCACCAACCACUGGAACACAUCUCCAAAGUUCUGCUGGGCCAGCUCAGCUUCCCCUCAGAAGAAGUUCCACCAGAUGAAGGAGCCUUUUGAGAGGCAGCUGGCAUCGUGAUUGGACUGUACUUUGGUCUGUUCCAAUCCAGCUUCAGCUCCAGAGACGGCAGGUGGGACGAGUCAACGGAGGCCUGGAAGACAAAGGCAUGCAGCUGAGUACAAUCCAGAAAACAACAGAGGAGGAGUGCAGAGCCAGAAAAAACAGAGUAUGUCUCUUAGAAAACAUCAUAGUAUAGCCUUUGGUAUGAAAAAACGCCAUCAUAUACAUCGUAUAUUGUACAAAUAACAAGUCAAAGCAAAGAGACAUACAUUGUAGAAUUGUAGUAAUUGUGGGCUGACUGAUUUACUGAUUAUCAGUAUUUUAUUUUGUACUGAUUUACGGUAAUAAAUACAUUUAAAAACGGCCCUACUGUGGCUCUGAACCUUUAUCUACCUGUGGUCGCUCUGUCUUCUGGAGUGAUUUGAUUGGUUAUACG
Amphiprion ocellaris (clown anemonefish) is the source of this 1255-nucleotide long non-coding RNA. The record is from Ensembl. Lineage: Eukaryota; Metazoa; Chordata; Actinopteri; Pomacentridae.